This 336-nucleotide RNase P RNA is filed under the name Synergistaceae bacterium. Its description in RNAcentral is "RNase P RNA component class A". It matches the Rfam family "Bacterial RNase P class A". Rfam says of the family: Ribonuclease P (RNase P) is a ubiquitous endoribonuclease, found in archaea, bacteria and eukarya as well as chloroplasts and mitochondria. Its best characterised activity is the generation of mature 5'-ends of tRNAs by cleaving the 5'-leader elements of precursor-tRNAs. Cellular RNase Ps are ribonucleoproteins. Lineage: Bacteria; Thermotogati; Synergistota; Synergistia; Synergistales; Synergistaceae. The record is from RNAcentral.
GGAGCAACCAAUCCAGUCGCUGUCGCUUCGUGCGAUGGAGGAAAGUCCGGGCUCCGCAGGGCAGAGUGCAGGAUAACAUCCUGUGAGUGCAAACUUAAGGAAAGUGCCACAGAAAACAAACCGCCUCGUAAGAGGUAAGGGUGAAAAGGUGAGGUAAGAGCUCACCAGCCGUCGAGUGAUCGCCGGGCUUGGCAAACCCCGCUCGGAGCAAGAUCGAAUAGGGGAGGAUGAGGCGGCCCGCUGACUCCCGGGUACGAUCGCUAGAUCUCAGUUGUAAAGCUGAGACAAGAUAAAUGACUGGGCACGACAGAACCCGGCUUACUGGGUGCUCCAAAC